RNAcentral lists this ribosomal RNA (329 nucleotides) under uncultured eukaryote. RNAcentral describes it as "partial 18S ribosomal RNA". It matches the Rfam family "Eukaryotic small subunit ribosomal RNA", at positions 1470 to 1796 of the family's 1831-position model. The record is from RNAcentral.
CCCUUAGAUGUUCUGGGCCGCACGCGCGCUACACUGAUGCAUUCAACGAGUCUAAAACCUGCUCUGAUAGGGGUGGGUAAUCUUUUGAAUGUGCAUCGUGAUUGGGAUAGAUGAUUGCAAUUUUUCAUCUUCAACGAGGAAUGCCUAGUAAACGCAAGUCAUCAGCUUGCAUUGAUUACGUCCCUGCCCUUUGUACACACCGCCCGUCGCUCCUACCGUUUGAAUGAUCCGAUGAAUAUCAUGGAUUGAGGAUGCAAGUAGGUUAGCCUAUCUUCAUCUUCGAGAAGUGAAGUAAAUCUUAUCAUUUAGAGGAAGGAGAAGUCGUAACA